CCUACGGGUGGCAGCAGUGGGGAAUAUUGCACAAUGGGGGAGACCCUGAUGCAGCGACGCCGCGUGAGUGAGGAAGUAUUUCGGUAUGUAAAGCUCUAUCAGCAGGGAAGAAAAUGACGGUACCUGACUAAGAAGCCCCGGCUAACUACGUGCCAGCAGCCGCGGUACUACGUAGGGGGCAAGCGUUAUCCGGAUUUACUGGGUGUAAAGGGAGCGUAGACGGAUUUGCAAGUCUGAUGUGAAACUCCGGGGCUCAACCCCGGAAGUGCAUUGGAAACUGUAUUUCUAGAGUGUCGGAGAGGCAAGUGGAAUUCCUGGUGUAGCGGUGAAAUGCGUAGAUAUCAGGAGGAACACCAGUGGCGAAGGCGGCUUGCUGGACGAUGACUGACGUUGAGGCUCGAAAGCGUGGGGAGCAAACAGGAUUAGAUACCCUUGUAGUC
This 440-nucleotide ribosomal RNA is filed under the name uncultured bacterium. RNAcentral describes it as "partial 16S ribosomal RNA". It matches the Rfam family "Bacterial small subunit ribosomal RNA", at positions 338 to 795 of the family's 1533-position model. The record is from RNAcentral.